RNAcentral lists this ribosomal RNA (369 nucleotides) under uncultured bacterium. RNAcentral's name for it is "partial 16S ribosomal RNA". It matches the Rfam family "Bacterial small subunit ribosomal RNA", at positions 338 to 705 of the family's 1533-position model. The record is from RNAcentral.
CCUACGGGGGACAGCAGUGAGGAAUAUUGGUCAAUGGGCGCGAGCCUGAACCAGCCAAGUCGCGUGAGGGAAGACGGUCCUAUGGGUUGUAAACUUCUUUUGUCGGGGAGUAAACUACGCCACGUGUGGCGUUUCGAGAGUACCCCAUGAAUAAGCAUCGGCUAACUCCGUGCCAGCAGCCGCGGUAAUACGGAGGAUGCGAGCGUUAUCCGGAUUUAUUGGGUUUAAAGGGAGCGCGGGCGGAGGAUAAAGUCGGUGGUGAAAUUGUGGGGCUCAACCGGGUCGAGCCGGGGCAAAGGGUGGUCGUGAGUGGGGGAGAGGUAGGCGGAAUGCGUGGGGGAGCGGGGAAAGGCGUAGAGAGGACGAAGA